CAGAGUUCAUGCCCUUCGGGGUAGAUCUCCCACCCUUGUGUAUCAUUGUAGAAUGUUGCUUUGGCGGGCUGCGUGCCUCGCGCGCCCGGAUCUCGGUCCGGCCCGCCCGCCAGAGGACCCCUAAACUCUGAAUGUUAGUGUCGUCUGAGUACUAUUAAAUAGUUA
RNAcentral lists this unclassified non-coding RNA (165 nucleotides) under uncultured Lachnum. RNAcentral's name for it is "sequence contains ITS1". The record is from RNAcentral. Lineage: Eukaryota; Fungi; Ascomycota; Leotiomycetes; Helotiales; Hyaloscyphaceae.